CAAUAUUAUUUAAGAUAGGAGUAGUAGAAGAAAGGGUUUUAAUAGAAACAUUGCAUGAGAUAUAUGCAAACAUGUGCCGUUAUCUACGCCCACAGAAGAGAAACUGGAUUAGCAAUAGUUUAGGUAACAUGCAUAUUAGCACCAUUGUUCGCGUACUAUUGAUAUUAAUUUAAAAGAGUUUGUAUUGGCUUCUGCAACCAUGACAGCUAAGUCAAUGGGAGGAUGAUUCCUUAAAAAGAGUAAUUACUGCGGUUAAAGCAAUCCAAGGCCUGAUAUCGCUUGUAGAUUUGGCAUGGAGAUCAGGAACAAGAGUCAGAAGGAGAUGAUGAAGAUGGGCGUGGGAGGUGAGGUAGUGGCUGCCGAACCUGAGAGGAAGCACUACCCGAUCCUUGAGAUGCCCCUGAGAAGCAAGAUUUAUUACUGCUGUGACGAGAACCUAUUUUGGCUGCAGGCUUUCUUUCAAUCCAACCUUGCUGGCAAAAUAAUCUCCAUGGUUUUGUACCCGCGCCUUCCCAACCUUUGCCUCCGAUGCUAGCUCUUGACUUGGAAAGCAUGCCACUGUCUUUGCCACAGGUGCUUAUGGAUCCGCUCGGUCAACUGAAACUCCUGCCCGUGCCUCUACCGCCCAGCUGCUUUGCCUGGACUCCUAGCUCCAGAGGGUUAGGAAAAAGGACUGAUGGAAGAAAGAAAGAGUCAAGCGAUAGACAAGAGCCAUAGAUGGAAGCGGAGGUAGUAGAACCAGUAAAGGGAGCUUUAGGAAAGUGGGGGUUGUUUUUUGAUGUUAGAAUCGGCACGAGAUUGUUGUCCAUUGGAAGUGAGGGGGAAGGAGUUGUUUACUUAACAUGAUAGAUGGUUUAUACCGAGUAUGAAAGAGAAGGAAGGGGAGUAAGUUCGGGAAAGGAGGUAUUUUUUUUUAAAAAGAGGAGGACUAUGGGUGUUUAUUCAUUCUUCUUAUAAUGGUUAAAUAGUUGAAAUUUGAUUGUUUAUUGUGAUUUUGUGUUUUAAUUAUUUGUUUUAUUAACUAAAGCUGCUUUAAUUUU
Long non-coding RNA from Populus euphratica (Euphrates poplar), 1040 nucleotides. RefSeq lists it as uncharacterized. The transcript has 2 exons. Lineage: Eukaryota; Viridiplantae; Streptophyta; Magnoliopsida; Malpighiales; Salicaceae. The record is from RefSeq and is a predicted model, not a curated record.